AAGUCGUAACAAGGUUUCCGUAGGUGAACCUGCGGAAGGAUCAUUACCAAUUUUAGCGAACCUAAACCUUUGUGUUAUGGUCUCGCGAAAAAAACUGUAUUUAAAACCCCACUCUUUAUAAUAAUAAAUGAAUCUAUUUAUAUAAUCAUAAAUAAAGAUCACUUUUAACAACGGAUCUCUUGGCUCUC
Molecule: unclassified non-coding RNA, 188 nt
Filed under: Rhizophagus custos
Lineage: Eukaryota; Fungi; Glomeromycota; Glomeromycetes; Glomerales; Glomeraceae
Description: partial internal transcribed spacer region
Rfam family: Eukaryotic small subunit ribosomal RNA (bases 1-46)
Source: RNAcentral